This 240-nucleotide ribosomal RNA is filed under the name uncultured bacterium. RNAcentral describes it as "partial 16S ribosomal RNA". It matches the Rfam family "Bacterial small subunit ribosomal RNA", at positions 9 to 240 of the family's 1533-position model. The record is from RNAcentral.
GAGUUUUGAUCAUGGCUCAGGAUGAACGCUAGCUACAGGCUUAACACAUGCAAGUCGAGGGGCAGCAUGAACUUAGCUUGCUAAGUUUGAUGGCGACCGGCGCACGGGUGAGUAACACGUAUCCAACCUGCCGAUGACUCGGGGAUAGCCUUUCGAAAGAAAGAUUAAUACCCGAUGGCAUAGUUCUUCCGCAUGGUAGAACUAUUAAAGAAUUUCGGUCAUCGAUGGGGAUGCGUUCCA